RNAcentral lists this long non-coding RNA (242 nucleotides) under Drosophila guanche. Lineage: Eukaryota; Metazoa; Arthropoda; Insecta; Diptera; Drosophilidae. The record is from RNAcentral.
GAAUAGAAAAGCUCUGUGCCUUUGAGAUUGUAAGCUAGAUAAGCGUUUUACUUCAAUGCAGUUCUUUGGGCUAUGGAGUAUCUGAAACCCAACUAAUGAUAAAAAAGUCCUUGUAGAAAUUGUAAGUGAAAUAGCAAAUAUUUAAGGAUGCUGAAUGCCCUUUCAACUGAAUACUACUGAAUUAUUUUCAGAGACAAUUUCCUUUUUCCAUUUGGCGCAUCUAGUGUCAUUUAUUUGUGCAG